CUAGGUCCCAGCAGACCAGGAGCACAGAUGGGUCAGCCUACUCAGUUCUCCACUGGGCUCCCUGUUCUCAGAAUGGUCUGUGUGUGGAGAAGACUCCUAAGUGCCUGGGAAUAGGUGGGCUGUGGGUGAAGCGGAUGAAGGCGAUACAGAGCGAGGACGUGGCCUGAAACCGAGAGCAGCAUUCUCCCUUCCCUGCUUCCAUCCGUUCCUGGUCUGCGUCCCAGCCCUGGUACGUAAGGCUGUCCCAGAAUCCCUGUAAAUUCACUUUUCUGUUAAAUGAUUCCAGAUCAUUCGGUUAUGUGCAACCAAAAGUCCUCACCCAUACGUCAUCUUACAGCAUUAAAGCUUCAGGCGACUUGGGUAUGUUUUAAAAACAAAAA
Molecule: RNA transcript, 380 nt
Organism: Homo sapiens (human)
Lineage: Eukaryota; Metazoa; Chordata; Mammalia; Primates; Hominidae
Gene: NDUFA10
Gene name: NADH:ubiquinone oxidoreductase subunit A10
Source: RefSeq, marked reviewed